This is a non-coding RNA of Paramuricea clavata, 274 nucleotides long. Lineage: Eukaryota; Metazoa; Cnidaria; Anthozoa; Malacalcyonacea; Plexauridae. The record is from the annotation of a GenBank genome assembly.
CCUCACAUACCGGAAGUUUUUUUCCCCGUUUUUUCCCCUUUUUUUUAGUUACAAAACAUUAAUCGAUUUUCUUUGAAAUCAUGGCCCAACAACCACAUGGAUUGUAACUUUUAAAACAUAUUUAUUCUACGUUACCUCCUUCACCUCGGGUGCCGGCGGCUUUGUUCGUUUCUUUGGGAUUGGUCUGACCUUGAAUGGUUUAUCAGAUAUUUCUAACCAGUAGCCCUCAAUUUCGUGUCGCCUUUUUAACACACAAUCCAAAUCUGCAAAAAAG